UACGGAGGGUGCAAGCGUUAAUCGGAAUUACUGGGCGUAAAGCGUGCGCAGGCGGUUUGUUAAGUCUGCUGUGAAAUCCCCGAGCUCAACUUGGGAAUUGCAGUGGAUACUGGCAGGCUGGAGUAUGGUAGAGGAAGGUGGAAUUCCCGGUGUAGCAGUGAAAUGCGUAGAGAUCGGGAGGAACACCAGUGGCGAAAGCGGCUCACUGGACCAUUACUGACGCUGAGGCACGAAAGCUAGGGGAGCAAACAGG
Molecule: ribosomal RNA, 253 nt
Filed under: uncultured bacterium
Lineage: Bacteria
Description: partial 16S ribosomal RNA
Rfam family: Bacterial small subunit ribosomal RNA
Source: RNAcentral